CUAAUUUCAAGGCAUUGCAAAGUGGUGAAUUUGCUGUGGUUGGAAAGAUGUUGGCAACUAUGAUUGUACAGGGAGGAGAGUUACCGAGCUAUUGAGUCCUGCCUUUGCACCUCAGGGCAACCAAAGAAGGAUACCUGAGGAAGUCAUUAUGGCAAAGUUCAUUGCAUUUUUGAAAUCAAUUGAAGAUGGUACUUUGCAAGAAAGUUUGGAGGAUUGUGAUGUGGAACUCACUGACCAAGAAAAAAAACUUUAUUCCGCAAUUGACACCAAGCCAUGUGCUGUUGUUUGCCACUGGGGCUGCUAGCAUACCAUCUAUAGGCUUUGACCCAAAGCCUGUAAUUAAUUUUGUGCAUGAUAGUGAAAAAGCAAUCCCUUGUGCGCAGACAUGCACAAAUACAUUGAAUCUAUUUGUAAAUAGUAGAACCAAGGAUGGUAAUUUGUCACAUUACCUUCUAACAGCAUUGAUGAAUGGUGGCAUCUUUAGUAAAUUGUAAAAUACAUGCUUUUCUUACACUAUGACAUUAAAUUUUUUCUAUUUAAAUUUUAA
Xenia sp. Carnegie-2017 is the source of this 547-nucleotide long non-coding RNA. RefSeq lists it as uncharacterized. NCBI's taxonomy places the organism in Eukaryota, Metazoa, Cnidaria, Anthozoa, Malacalcyonacea, Xeniidae. The transcript has 2 exons. The record is from RefSeq and is a predicted model, not a curated record.